AACAAUUUUGCCCGUGUAAAUUUCAAAAAAUGAGCUUCAAAAUAUUUUGAACACACAAAGAAUUCAUAUUCAAUGUUGGUUACAAGAGUAAAAAGAAGUAUAAAGAAACACGUCAUUUUUUUUUUUGGAAUGUAAAUAAACACAAUUGCAAAUAAAGGAUCAAGACUCAAUAGAUAUAGGCCAUGGCUAAGUGCACACUGCAAAAGAUCAGAUUCAUCAGAACAUUUUGACCCAAAAUUCUUUGAACACCUAACACUUUAUUAUCCUUAAGUAUUGGGCAGUUCAACGAUACUGGAGCAAAAUUUCAUGAUGAAUCUCAUUAUUUGCACAA
RNAcentral lists this unclassified non-coding RNA (331 nucleotides) under Hevea brasiliensis (rubber tree). The record is from RNAcentral. Lineage: Eukaryota; Viridiplantae; Streptophyta; Magnoliopsida; Malpighiales; Euphorbiaceae.